CUCAUGAAGACACUAGACUGGAGUGUCGAAACGUUGGGUCUUGAUUACAAUUCGACUGGGCUUUGUAAUCAUUUAUUUAAACCAGAGUAGCGAGCGAAACAUGAUUGAUAUAUACCUGGUUGCAGUGAACGAACAAACUUUAAAUCCUCGAUAAUGUUCCCUUGACCCACGCUGACGCCUAAGCUACAUGAACAAUGUCCUUGC
Paramuricea clavata is the source of this 204-nucleotide non-coding RNA. Lineage: Eukaryota; Metazoa; Cnidaria; Anthozoa; Malacalcyonacea; Plexauridae. The record is from the annotation of a GenBank genome assembly.